UUUCCGUAGGUGAACCUGCGGAAGGAUCAUUAUUGGAUUUUGAAACUUCAGGCUGCUGCUGGCUCUCCUCGGAGGGCAUGUGCACGCUGGUUGUCCAUUAUUUCUCCCACUGUGCACAAAUUGUAGACCUUUCAGUAGGCCUAUGUUGUUUUUCACAAUCUCUGAAUGUAAUAGAAUGGUUUUGAAUCUUGGGAAAUACAAUACAACUUUCAGCAACGGAUCUCUUGGCUCUC
This 233-nucleotide unclassified non-coding RNA is filed under the name plant metagenome. RNAcentral describes it as "partial contains small subunit ribosomal RNA, internal transcribed spacer 1, and 5.8S ribosomal RNA". The record is from RNAcentral.